GGAAGGGUGGGGAUGACGUCAAGUCAUCAUCGGCCCUUAUGUCCAGGGCGACACACGUGCUACAAUGGCCGGCACAGCGGGAAGCGAGGGGGCGACCUUGAGCGGAUCCCUCAAAGCCGGUCUCAGUUCGGAUUGCAGUCUGCAACUCGACUGCAUGAAGUUGGAAUCGCUAGUAAUCGUGGAUCAGCCAAGCCGCGGUGAAUACGUUCCCGGGCCUU
This 218-nucleotide ribosomal RNA is filed under the name uncultured Thermovirga sp. RNAcentral describes it as "partial 16S ribosomal RNA". It matches the Rfam family "Bacterial small subunit ribosomal RNA", at positions 1167 to 1382 of the family's 1533-position model. Lineage: Bacteria; Thermotogati; Synergistota; Synergistia; Synergistales; Thermovirgaceae. The record is from RNAcentral.